Molecule: transfer RNA, 73 nt
Filed under: Microcaldota archaeon
Lineage: Archaea; Nanobdellati; Microcaldota
Description: tRNA-Trp
Rfam family: tRNA
About the family: Transfer RNA (tRNA) molecules are approximately 80 nucleotides in length.
Source: RNAcentral
GGGGUUGUGGCGUAACCUGGCAGCGCAGCAGGCUCCAGACCUGCGAGUCGGGGUUCAAAUCCCCGCAACCCCA